GAUGAACGCUGGCGGCGUGCCUAAUACAUGCAAGUCGAGCGAACAGACGAGGAGCUUGCUCCUCUGACGUUAGCGGCGGACGGGUGAGUAACACGUGGAUAACCUACCUAUAAGACUGGGAUAACUUCGGGAAACCGGAGCUAAUACCGGAUAAUAUAUUGAACCGCAUGGUUCAAUAGUGAAAGACGGUUUUGCUGUCACUUAUAGAUGGAUCCGCGCCGCAUUAGCUAGUUGGUAAGGUAACGGCUUACCAAGGCAACGAUGCGUAGCCGACCUGAGAGGGUGGUCGGCCACACUGGAACUGAGACACGGUCCAGACUCCUACGGGAGGCAGCAGUAGGGAAUCUUCCGCAAUGGGCGAAAGCUUGACGGAGCAACGCCGCGUGAGUGAUGAAGGUCUUCGGAUCGUAAAACUCUGUUAUUAGGGAAGAACAAAUGUGUAAGUAACUAUGCACGUCUUGACGGUACCUAAUCAGAAAGCCACGGCUAACUACCUG
RNAcentral lists this ribosomal RNA (497 nucleotides) under uncultured bacterium. Its description in RNAcentral is "partial 16S ribosomal RNA". It matches the Rfam family "Bacterial small subunit ribosomal RNA", at positions 28 to 507 of the family's 1533-position model. The record is from RNAcentral.